This 253-nucleotide ribosomal RNA is filed under the name uncultured bacterium. RNAcentral describes it as "partial 16S ribosomal RNA". It matches the Rfam family "Bacterial small subunit ribosomal RNA", at positions 524 to 776 of the family's 1533-position model. The record is from RNAcentral.
UACGAAGGGGGCUAGCGUUGCUCGGAAUCACUGGGCGUAAAGCGCACGUAGGCGGAUUCUUAAGUCAGGGGUGAAAUCCUGGAGCUCAACUCCAGAACUGCCUUUGAUACUGGGAGUCUCGAGUCCGGGAGAGGUGAGUGGAACUGCGAGUGUAGAGGUGAAAUUCGUAGAUAUUCGCAAGAACACCAGUGGCGAAGGCGGCUCACUGGCCCGGUACUGACGCUGAGGUGCGAAAGCGUGGGGAGCAAACAGG